Peromyscus californicus insignis is the source of this 5294-nucleotide long non-coding RNA. RefSeq lists it as uncharacterized. The record is from RefSeq and is a predicted model, not a curated record. The transcript has 3 exons. NCBI's taxonomy places the organism in Eukaryota, Metazoa, Chordata, Mammalia, Rodentia, Cricetidae.
ACACAGCGAUUUGCAAGUGAAUGCGAGGGAGGGAGCAUCCGCGCGGAGGGCUGCGCAUGAAAGGCGUCCCCUCCCCCGCAGGGCAGAAAGACUCUCUGUUUCCAGCCUAAGCCAUUCAUUUUAUGCUGGUGAUAGGUAAUAAAACGCCUGGCAGAUGAGACGAAGGUCCUCUGUGGACAUAUCACCAUGAACAUGUCCAAUCUCAUCUGUUCACGGAUGCUAUGCAGAGACAGAUCGGGUUCAUUCUUGGCUGAAUGAUGAAGGGUUUCUUGUGUUGAAGCAGAGUAGAAGAAUAUCUCCUGAGUCCAGUAAUCAACACCAGGACCCAAGGUGUCCCGUGUACUCUUCUAAAUACUCCUAUGUGGACAUUCUUAUUUUCAUUUGAACUAUUUUAAAUUUGAGUCAAGUUUUUCAACAUUAUUUCAUAUACAAUUGUGGAAUCAUUUUAACUUCUGACAACUAUUUUGAAUGUAAAAAUUAAAAUUUAGUGUGUGCUAAUUUUAUGAAUAUCAGAUACAUGAAUAAAUUCCCUUCUUUACUAAAAUGUGAUUAUUUUAAGGAAACAUAGUCUGCUGAUAGCCUGGUUGUAUUAAUGAUACACAGUAUUUUGUCUUUUAAUAAAGUAAACUCUGGGAGUCAGUGUCCCCAUUCUCUAGGAUCUUGUAUAUUUCUAAAUCAAUAGCAAUUUCUUCUUUUUUGCAUUUUAAUACAAGACAGAGGUUUUCCCUGUGUGUCUAUUGCAUAUGAUCACAGACUAAAAGAGAUGUCAAUUAUAGUUCUCUCCACACAUAUCACAUUGUGCACAGACCAACCUGCCAUUUCAUCCUUUUCUCCCAAAUAUAUUUCACUUUACUUACAUAUAAGUCAUCACAUCUAAGUAAACAUUUUCUUGAUAUAUUUAAUAUACAUUUUUCUUCUUGCUGUUAGAGAGUUUUAGUUUGUGUAGGCCUUAUUUUAGGGUUGUUGAGAUGGUUCAGCAAGUAAAGAUGCUUGUCAGCAUAAUUAAAGACCUGUUUGUUCUCCAGAACUCACAUGGUAGAAACAGGUAAAUAACUUUCUUAAGUUGUCCACUGACCUAAACAGCCAUGAUGUGGCACCCUAGAAGAGAAACACUCAGGUACACACAAUAUAGUGAUGAUGAUGAUGAUGAUGAUGAUGAUGAUGAUGAUGAUAACUCAAUGUAAAAUAACCCAAAAUGCUGGUCAAUGGUGGCACACACCUUUAAUCCCAGUACUCUGGAGGCAAAGGCAGGUGGAUCUCUGAGUUCAAGGCCAGCCUAGUUUACAAAGUGAAUUCCAGGGAAGCCAGAACUGUUACACAGAGAAACCCUGUCUUGAAAAAAAAAAAAACAAGAUGAAUUUUAUUAUUUCAUAUAGUCAUGAUUUAUACCCUAUAUAUAGUUGGUGUUAUUCAUGUGACUUUUUUCUCUUGUGUUAAAUUUUAUUCCAAAAUAAUUUAAUAUUCAUGCAUUAGCUUUUAAAGAUAAUGAUACUCAAAGAUAGGGAGAAAAUUAUUAGGUAAUUUAAAGUUGUUUAUUGAAUUUUUAUAACCUAUCUAUUGAUUCCACAUCUCCACUUAUGGCCAGUUUUAGAAUUGUGGUAUUGAGUCAUAUUCUUUCUAAUGUCUAAAUUUCCCAUGUUCAGAUGGUUGGAUGUUAUGCCAAAAAAGCGAGAUCACAUUCAUUCCAUGCAACUUGUAGUUCUGUUUAUAACUUUAAAAAAAAAGCUUUUGACAAAUAUUAUACCAAAUAUUAUUUGACAUAAAACAGAGGUCCUGCUAUCUCCCCUACUUCUUUCUAUAAGUCAGGAUUUUGAUUAGAAGAAAAUGUAACAAUCCAUCUUGAAACUCAAUUGUUAUGUUUUUUUACAACAGAAAGUGCUAACGUUUAUAUAAUAUUUAUUGAAUUACUUUUCAACAAAUAACUUCUUAAUUCUUUGUAAAAAGCUUUUGUUCAAAAGACCAUUAGCUUUGGUCUCUUAUUAUUUCUGCUAAUUAUUCUACACAGGAAACUGGAACAAAAAUUAUGUAGUAUAAAGUAUCUGUAUUUCAAUUUAUUAUGUGACUUUUAUUUCCUUAUUUGUUCAAAUUCUAUUAAGUUGAAUAAAAUGAAAAAUCUCAGAAACUUGUUUCACUAAACCAACUGGCCAGAGAGGAGAACUUAGCGUAGGGAUACAUCUAGAUGCUGCACACAGAUUGUACACAUAUUCAUAAUUACCCUUAAUCAGUGUAUCCAUGGGAGGACAUUUGCAAAAUGGCUGAAAGGAUCUAGCUGAUGAAAAAUAUUUCCUGAAGUGAAUGUGCCAAACUAAACCAUUUUUUCCCUCCAUGAAGCCAGAUUUGUAUCCAUCUACACCAUCUGUUCCUCCAGAAAAUGGAAAAUUAGCUCUAUGUUGACCUGGCAAGAGUUACUUCCAUUAUCUCCAACUGGUUCAUUAAAAAAAUGCUGGGGUUCCUACUAUGAAAACAUAACAAUAACAUGAUGCUACUUAAAGAAAAACAAAUGCAGUCACUAAAUCACUUUUACAAUGUACAUUUCUGUCUUCAACAUGUGAUGUCAUUAUCUUAUUGUGCCUUAUUGUCUUAUCAAAUAUUUCCUUCACUGAUAACAUUGCAUAAAAUCAAUCUUCCCCAUUCCCUGGGAACUAAUGUUUCAGUUUCCAUCAAAUCACAUUUAACAAGUAUCCAACAAAGUUUUUUUAAAGGUAUUUUAAAGUAAUAUCUAGUUGCAAUCUUCAUUUUAAAAAAGGACAUUUUUUUUAAAAGUAGAAUAGCAUACAUCUAAUAAAAAGUAAUGUCAGAUAUGUUGGGUUGAUAGUAUUAAGUAAUUAAAAAAAUAAUCAAAUUUUACAAUUUUAGUACUCAUCAAAAUGCCAUGUGGGUAUUUAACAAAAAUGUUAAGAAAAUUAACUUUGUAAAAAUUAAUUAAAAAUGGGUGUUUGUUGUCGUAAUAUUGUAAAAUUUGAAACAUGUAUACUUUUCAUGAAGUUAACUUAGCAAAAGCCAACAAAGGAACAUAACAGAUUGUAACAAAUUAUCUAACAUUUGUGAAUGAAUUACAUUAAUUUAAUUUCAUUUUCUCAGUUUUAUCAGAUCUCUUCAAACUAAGUUUUUGAAUAACUAGUCAUAUUAGAAUGGGGACCCUUAUAACAUAAACAGGAAAACAUAAAUAAUAUACUAUGAGAUUAUUUGUUAGCACUUCAAUAAGUUUUAUCACUAAUGAAUGACCUUUCAAUAAGAGACAUAAAAAGUUUCAGAAUACAUUAGUACACAUUUUUGAAUAACAAUAAAAAAUGUGUUACAUAUGUGAAAAAUUUAAAUAAUGUUACAAAUCCCAUUAAUACAUUAAUGAAUCUUGCAUGAUUUGCAUAUUGAAAAUUUAAUAUCUUUGAAAGUGAAAUUAUUACUGUUUACUGAAAAACAUAAACGGAGAGUAGAGUGUAGAAAUUCUUAGGAGCUUCACAUGUGAUGAAGAGAAUUGUACUGAGAGCAGAUGUUUAGUCAGCAUGUAAAAAAACAAAACAAAACAGGAACCAAGGUAGGCAACCAUGACACAUGUCUAAUAAAAUUGUCACCCAGAUUUGAGAAUUGAAACCAUCUCAAAAAAGGGGUAAAACUUGGUGAGAAGAGAUCUGGGCCCAUUCCUAGAAUAUCGCCAUACAAUACUGUCUCCCUGGUGCACAAGGCAGAGGGGAAACUAGAUGGGAUGUAUAGGAAGGCUCUGUAUACUAGGAAUGAGUGGCAGGUAGAAUAUUAUGGAGCAGGUUGUGUUUUCAAAACAACAUCUUCGUAUUCAGGGAGUCUGGGUGAAACACACACAUACACACACACACACACACACACACACGCACACACACACUUAUAGGGAUUUGACCACUACCUGGAGAAUUUUGGUGAAUAUGAGAAGCUCCUUGUUGUAAGCCAUCCCACUCAACCUCCACUGAUUAAGUCUUAAGCACCUCCAUAUCCUGAAGGUGAUGUUUUCUUUCCUACUCAUAUAUAUAUAUGUAUAUAUCCCGGUUUCAGUCAUUUUUCUUCUCAAACACACAGUUUAAUAUGUUUAUGCAAUAUCUUCAAAUGAGAAAUAUUGAAGCAAUUAAGAAAAAAAUGUGAGCUCCAUUAUUUCAAUGCAAUAAUUACUUUGAAAAUGAGACAAUCACCUCUUUUUUUUAAUGACAUCUUUAGUUACACUUCUUUUCUCUGCUCCUACCUCACUACCAUAAUGUUGAAUCAUCAUGUUUGUUGGGUUGGCCAUGAGUUUACACGUUUCACUUUUGUUAAUUGGGGUUUCAUGUUCCAGGUAGCCUGGUGUGUAAGAAAGUGAUGUUUUCCCUAGCUAUCAAAACAGUAAAUAUAUAUUUUAACUGGUUCUUUUUGCUUUCUACAAAGGAUUUAUUACAAAACUCUAUCUGCGUAGAGAUUCUUUCAAAACAAUUGAAACUGAAAAGACAAUGUGUAACAUGAAGACAUAAAGAACCUCUCCAGAGAGAGAGAAGUGAUGGAAUUCUCUUUUAAUUAAAACGUUUUUGAAGGACUUAAGGAAGGCUUAGAGUCACUUUAAACUUUCUUUUCCAUUACAUUACUUUGUUAUAUUCACUCUGUAUAUUCUCAUUGGUUUUUUUCCUUCAAACUUCAAGGCAAUGAUUUUCAGAUUUCAUAUUUCUCUACUCCCUCUUUUAUUUAUUGGAGUAAUUACAUGUAAAUUUGCAUAUUUAGGAUCAUCUAGUUAGCUCUAAGUUCAUAUUCCCUAAUAUCAAAUGCCCAGUGAGCAGUGCCUGAUAACACUGUACUUAGGCUAUGAUGCAGACUAUGUCUGUGUGGACAGAUAUGUAAACAUAUGGAUUUUCUUUCACUAUUAUCUCUGAAAAAAAUAUUUCCUUGCCAAUGCCAUUCUUCUGUGGUUUGAAAUGUCCGUUUACCAACCUAACUGUCGUGAUAGAACUCUCCUCCAAUGAUGAUGGAAGCGGAUGCCGAGAUCCACGGCCAGGUCCCAGGUGGAGCUCCGGGAGUCCAAUGGGCGAGAGAGAGGAGGGAUUGUAUGAGUGAGAGAUGUUGAGACCAUGACUGGAAAAAGCACAGGGACAAAUAGCCAAAUUAGUGGAAACACAUGAAAUAUGAACCAAUAGCUGAGGAGCCCCCAUGGAACUGGACCAGUGGAUAAGUGAGACAGUUGAUUAGCUUGAACUUUUUUGGAGGCCCCCAGGCAGUGGGAUCGGGACAUGUCCUUGGUGCAUGAGCUGGCUUUUGGGGGCCUAGGGGCUAUGUGGGGUCACUUUGCUCAGCCUGGGUGAAGGGAG